Molecule: non-coding RNA, 866 nt
Organism: Punica granatum (pomegranate)
Lineage: Eukaryota; Viridiplantae; Streptophyta; Magnoliopsida; Myrtales; Lythraceae
Source: RefSeq, a predicted model, not a curated record
AAUAAGAAUCAUCACAGUCAACACUGAUCAUCAUCACUGAUCCUCCCACCCAUCUCCCCUCCAAGUCCAACCAGCCAUCAAUAGCAAUGGCAGCUCAUCUCAAUCUUAUCCCAAACAUCCUUCCCCUUCACUUUCCAUCCUUUCUGUCCCACCCCAUAAACAGAAAGAGGAAAAAGGGAACGGAGGAAGGAAGGAAUGGUAAUUAUAAGUAGAACUUGGUGAGCUUCUGUGUUCUUGAAUGGACGAAGAAGAAGAAGGGUGUGCAGAUUGUUACUAACGCUUUGGAGUAUCGUAAUCUGACAACGAGAGAGAGCACGCUAGUCGGCAUCCAUGCGGGGAGACAUGGCUGUGUACAAGCGUGCUCUCUUUCGUUGUCAUACGAUGUGCCUUCCGAGGCAAGAUCCACUAGCUCUUCGGUAUCAUUUCAUCUCAUCAGGUCCGAGUUGUGGCUCUGCAGCUGGAAGGGAGAAAUUGUGGUGUUUCUGCCACUGAAUAAAGCAGUUCGGCCUUUUCCGGUAGCACAACUGUUCCGAAACACUCAAUUUAGAGAAGACUACCCGUUGACUGGGAGUUAUUUGGACUUCCGUGAGUUAGGACAAUUGAACUUCCGUCAGUUUGAAUCUUUUAGACUUUCAUAGGUAAUAACAUUUAUACUUCUGCCAUCUAGGAUUUAAAUGUUUGAACUUCCGUCAGUUUGAAUCUCUGUAGCAUUUAAAUGUUUCCUGGGAAAAGGCUAGGCUGCUAGGAUUUGUAUUUUAGAUACGGUUGCUGUGGUAUUGCUUUCCUUUUUCGAGCUUCGAAUGAUUGCUACCCAAUUGUUCUUAUAGAUUAAUUCUUCAAUUGACAUGUAUUUUUUUUCCCAGUUA